RNAcentral lists this ribosomal RNA (386 nucleotides) under uncultured bacterium. RNAcentral describes it as "bacterial SSU rRNA". It matches the Rfam family "Bacterial small subunit ribosomal RNA", at positions 453 to 831 of the family's 1533-position model. The record is from RNAcentral.
UUCUGAGUUAAUACCUCGGGAGGAUGACGGUACCUGAAGAAUAAGCACCGGCUAACUACGUGCCAGCAGCCGCGGUAAUACGUAGGGUGCAAGCGUUAAUCGGAAUUACUGGGCGUAAAGCGUGCGCAGGCGGUUUUGUAAGACAGAGGUGAAAUCCCCGGGCUCAACCUGGGAACUGCCUUUGUGACUGCAAGGCUUGAGUGCGGCAGAGGGGGAUGGAAUUCCGCGUGUAGCAGUGAAAUGCGUAGAUAUGCGGAGGAACACCGAUGGCGAAGGCAAUCCCCUGGGCCUGCACUGACGCUCAUGCACGAAAGCGUGGGGAGCAAACAGGAUUAGAUACCCUGGUAGUCCACGCCCUAAACGAUGUCAACUGGUUGUUGGGAAGG